GAAAAUGUGUACCAAUUCUGACCAAAGAGAUGUGAGGAAAAGUGUCCUGCAGAUUUCUGGAAAGGUUUUCCUCAAAGAUAAAAAUGGGAAGCUCCGCCCUUUCUCUACCGUCCACAAAGAAUGAAGCCUAAACUCCAGUGCUACUGUUGACAAUAACCAUGAGGUUAUUCAACCUUAGGAGAAAACCACAUUGCUGGUAACCAAAUGAAAAGGGAGAAUUUCACAGUGCGAAUUUUGAACUCUGCUUGGGAACCUCUUUGAAGAUCAGCCAGAAGAUGAUGGAAGUGCAAAUAACAUGCAGAAGCUCACGGCUGUCCUUCUGUAGUUCAUGCUGAGCCGGCAGUCAUUCUCCCAACAUGACAGAAGUCAGAUUACCCUGAGCAUCAGCCUUUUACAGCACAGAACAUGGGACUUCAUUAAAUCUCAGCAUUUACAUAUUCAUGAAGUACCUGUGAGUUUGGACAGAGAAGAUGCCUAUAUCAGACAGAGUAAGGUUUGAUGGGGUAAAUAUUUAGCAUGUGGCCAAGCAUGAUGUGGCCACAGUGGGCUUCUCCCUUCUUCUGAAAGGCCUCGACACUACUAAGACAGUGGUAGGGUCGAGGCUAAGAAAGGCCUCGACGCUACUCUGGGAAUACCAAAGGUCAGCUUGUUGAGUGAAGUGUAAGUAUCCAGUCACUAAGGCAGUGACAUGAAGCUGAUCUCUUGAUUGAGUCCCAAACAGCUCUGCCUGAUCUCCACAUGUUCUCGCAUCUUCUUCAUAAAUACGUUUAUAUAAUUCUUGAAGUUCCACCAAAUAGACGGAGGCACACACUGGCAAAAAGAUCCAUCCAGUUCUUGGUGUUGUCAGCCUGCCUGUCACAUUCCAGCAACAAACGACCUUCGGGGUUUGAGGACACCUCCCAACAGUAGCACCAGCUUCGCUGCCUUGUUCCCUCUGAACCUACAAAGCCUAAAGCUCUCAGCUUAUUUUACCCUCUAGUCCCUUCGAACUUGAGUUCUAAUGUCUUGGCCAUUGGUUUCUCUCUUCAUUUGGUUUGAAUCAUACUUGCAUCUAUCAAUGUCUCUUUGUCCCCCUCAACUCAUCCUCUGACCUUGUUGGUAGACAACUCCCCAUGAAUCCCUCAUGUUUCUGCCCAUCUUGUGACAUCAUUUGUCUGGAAUAUCUUUUCGAGGAUGUUUGUGUAGCAAAUAGCCUUGGAAAUAUAGUAUUUCCCCUCAGUGCAGAGGGCAGAUUUCUUUGCCGUCUAAGAUAAACACAAUGGCUUUCUCCCGAACAAAGUUUGGGCAAGUCUGCUAGCGGCACUUUAAUAAGAUGGAGGGUCCUAGGCUCAUAGUUCCUUAGUUGUGCAUGUAGGGUCCUCCUGGGUCUGCUUCUGCAUCAUUCCCAUAGAGCCUGGGGCAAGGAGAACCGAUGCAAACGCGAAGCCCAUGAUGCCUGCUGUUCUAUGAGUAAUAAAUGUCUUUGUCCCUGACCUAAAGUCUUGUGUCUUCUGCUCGUGUCUAUGAAACUGCAGCAUGCUGACUUGUGAGCUUGUAAGUGGGGUGAAGGGUGAUGUUACAGUUCUCGAUAUGCUUCAGUUGACAUAAGCACUGUGGCUAGCAUUUUCUAGCUGGGGUUUCCUAGCAUUGGUGUCCUUUUCCUAAUUUCACCCUGAUUCCCUCUUCAGAAUUCUGUAUUCCCUAUUGGAUGCUAUUUGAGGAAUAUAAUUUGAUGUUCUGUCCUCUCCCACCUAAGAGAUGGGAGCAUAACCCAAGCUAAACUUGCUGAAACUUAAACAGAAUGACAGAAACAAUGAAAACAAUUAGCAUUCUUUAUCCCAGCUCCGUAAACAAAUACUUCCUGCUAUUUCUGAAUAUCCUUUUCCUAAAAUCUAUAGAUAACCUGAACUCUGCCUGUGUCCUAACCAGUUUUGUGACACUUCCCAUGAAUUUUGUGAAUUUCUAAUAUUCACCACAUACAUUUCCCUUGGCCUGAGUUACUUCUGUCUCCUUCAACCAAAGAUUUCUAGAAUAAGCAGCCUGGGUCUAGCACCCUGGAAGUCAUAACGUGUUUCAUAUGUGUGCGGAUUGCCUUUUCACACAACAUGGUUACCCUUCACUACAGUUUGGGAUUUAGAAACAAGACAAUAUUAGAUACAUACAUAAAAAGAAUAAAGGACUCUAAAUUUCUAGAUUUUGUAAAUCUUUUCUCUGUCUACAAACCUAUUUCAAAGCAUUAAUUUAGUAUCUACUGAGCACCUCCUUUAUACAAAAACUGCUAGGAAUAUGGCAGUGAACAAAAGAGAAAAUGUCUCUUUUCUCAUAGAGUUUACAAUCUUAUUCUAUUCUAUAUCCUAUUUUUACUCUUUCUUUAAAAAGAGGCUGUUAAAACAUAAAUCCUUUGUGGGCAUAAACCUUGUGCGUUUUUUGUUUAUCACUUUUAUUGGUGACUAGUUAUUAAGUGUCCGACAAAUAUUUACUGACUAAAUACACAAAUCUCACUUCCAAUGAGAAGUUGCUAACACUGAAACAUCUGCAUUUUUGGUCACAAAUAAUUGCCCAGGACAAAGACUAAGAGCAUUAGAACCCAAAGGGAUGAAGGGAUAAAGUUCUCUUUGUAUUUAAAUGAAGGCAAUUUAAAGGUCUUAAGUUAGUAUCAGUUUGACAAAUUCUCAA
Molecule: long non-coding RNA, 2655 nt
Organism: Leopardus geoffroyi (Geoffroy's cat)
Lineage: Eukaryota; Metazoa; Chordata; Mammalia; Carnivora; Felidae
Exons: 4
Source: RefSeq, a predicted model, not a curated record